This 36-nucleotide non-coding RNA is filed under the name unclassified sequences. RNAcentral describes it as "S4-Bacteroidia ribosomal protein leader". It matches the Rfam family "S4-Bacteroidia ribosomal protein leader". The record is from RNAcentral.
GACCAUAAAUAUUUCACCUCUCUAUGGUCGCGGCUG